UCGAGUUAGGGUCUCUGCGGCCCGAUCUCCAACCCUGUGUUUAUCAUACCAUGUUGCUUUGGCGGGCCGGCGUUUCGACGCUGCCGGAGGGGGUGACUCCUCUAGAUCGUGCCCGCCGAAAGCCUACAUCUCAAAUUCUUUAAUCAACCGUGUCUGUCUCAGUCCUACAAAAAAUUAAAGCACA
RNAcentral lists this unclassified non-coding RNA (184 nucleotides) under uncultured Capnodiales. RNAcentral's name for it is "sequence contains ITS1". Lineage: Eukaryota; Fungi; Ascomycota; Dothideomycetes; Capnodiales. The record is from RNAcentral.